UGAGUAGAGUGGCGCACGGGUGAGUAACACGUAGGUGACCUACCCUUUGGAGGGGGAUAACUUCGAGAAAUUGAAGCUAAUACCCCAUAAGAUCUACAAAAGUGAAAGUAGUAGAUGAAAGAUUGCCUCUGCUUGCAUGCAAUCGCCGAAGGAUGGGCCUGCGGGACAUUAGCUUGUUGGUGGGGUAACGGCUUACCAAGGCUACGAUGUCUAGCCGGUCUGAGAGGAUGAUCGGCCACACUGGAACUGAGACACGGUCCAGACUCC
This 267-nucleotide ribosomal RNA is filed under the name unidentified marine bacterioplankton. Its description in RNAcentral is "partial 16S ribosomal RNA". It matches the Rfam family "Bacterial small subunit ribosomal RNA", at positions 87 to 339 of the family's 1533-position model. The record is from RNAcentral.